RNAcentral lists this ribosomal RNA (837 nucleotides) under Triticum aestivum (bread wheat). Its description in RNAcentral is "partial small subunit ribosomal RNA". Lineage: Eukaryota; Viridiplantae; Streptophyta; Magnoliopsida; Poales; Poaceae. The record is from RNAcentral.
AUGGAACCGAGGAGACCGACCAAGCCGGCCGCAGAGGAGGAGGGGCCGAUGGAGGCCUGUGAGGUCACCCGCCUGCAAGAGGAGCUCUUGUGGGCAGCGCUGUCCAGCACGUCACCUCGCGACGCCUGCCGUGCCGCAGCGGUCUCCCCGGCCUUCCGUGUGGCGGCCGACUCGGACGCUCUCUGGGCCUGCUUUCUGCCCUGCGGUCGUGACCUUCCGCCGCUCGCUGACGGAGAGUCGACGCCAUGCAGGAAGAAGGACCUGUUCCUCCGCCUCUCCGGCAGCCCCGUCCUCCUCCCAUGCGGACUCGUGAGCAUGUGGCUGGACAGGGAGACCGGCGCCAGGUGCUACAUGGUGCCGGCGAGGGAGCUGUCCAUCGGAUGAGGCACUCUCGCCGACUCGAGGUUUUCCGAGAGUGCUCAACUCAGACUAGUUUCCUGGCAGUAUAUCCGCGGCAAGAUACAUAGCAAGAUGCUCUCCCAAGGCUCAGCAUACUCUGUGUACAUGGUGUACAAGUUAGCCAACGAUUCAUAUGGGUUGACCGACGGUUACUACGGCCAAGAAUUGCCGGUCCAGAAGGCAUCAGUGAGCGUUGGAGGCACUCACCAAACCCGCAAGGUCUGCCUCCAACCUAACCCGCAAAGAAGCAUGAGACGGAACUAUCAUGCAGCGCUUCCUCGCAAAAGAGCUGAUGGUUGGAUCGAGCUGGAGCUGGGCGAGUUUAUUUGCGAGGGGCACGAAUAUGGCGAUGUGUCCUUCGGUCUGUCAGAGAUGAAUGAUUUGAGAAGGAAGAACGGUCUUAUCGUGCAGGGUAUUGAGAUUAGGCAUAAGAUUUGA